ACAGGAAUGUUUUACUGCACCAUGCGAAAUGGCCAAGCCAUACUCACGCGAUAGACUUUGGCUAGAUUAUCAUCUACACAGUAAUAAAGGAGAUUGGAGGCUAAAAGAAUCCUCGAACAAACAGUGAUCUUGUUACUCAUCUGAAGUUUUCCACAUAGUUCAUUGUUGCUUUCUGCAUCAAUACCAGAGAUUUAUUUAUUGCUAUAAAGAAAACAGUCUCCAAGAAGCAUUUGAUGCAAACAUGAAAGUGUUUAAUAAAAGGAAAUAGUAUCGUUCAAAACAUAUAAUUGUUAAAUAAGUCGUUUUACUAGGACCCCCCAACUCUAAUAAAGCUGAGUUGUUUGAUGUC
Molecule: long non-coding RNA, 349 nt
Organism: Nematostella vectensis (starlet sea anemone)
Lineage: Eukaryota; Metazoa; Cnidaria; Anthozoa; Actiniaria; Edwardsiidae
Exons: 3
Source: RefSeq, a predicted model, not a curated record